RNAcentral lists this ribosomal RNA (422 nucleotides) under uncultured bacterium. Its description in RNAcentral is "bacterial SSU rRNA". It matches the Rfam family "Bacterial small subunit ribosomal RNA", at positions 355 to 774 of the family's 1533-position model. The record is from RNAcentral.
UGAGGAAUAUUGGUCAAUGGGCGCAAGCCUGAACCAGCCAUGCCGCGUGCAGGAUGAAGCAUCUAUGGUGUGUAAACUGCUUUUGUACGGGAAGAAACCACCCCUCGUGAGGGGUAUUGACGGUACCGUAAGAAUAAGGAUCGGCUAACUCCGUGCCAGCAGCCGCGGUAAUACGGAGGAUCCAAGCGUUAUCCGGAAUCAUUGGGUUUAAAGGGUCCGUAGGCGGGUCUGUAAGUCAGUGGUGAAAUCCUGCCGCUUAACGGUAGAAUUGCCAUUGAUACUGAAAAGCUUGAGUACAAUUGAGGUAAGCGGAAUGUGUAGUGUAGCGGUGAAAUGCUUAGAUAUUACAUGGAAUACCAAUUGCGAAGGCAGGUUACUACUUGUGGAUUGACGCUGAUGGACGAAAGCGUGGGGAGCGAACA